Molecule: ribosomal RNA, 256 nt
Filed under: uncultured bacterium
Lineage: Bacteria
Description: partial 16S ribosomal RNA
Rfam family: Bacterial small subunit ribosomal RNA
Source: RNAcentral
UAACACGUAGGAUCCGAGCGUUAUCCGGAUUUACUGGGCGUAAAGCGCGUGUAGGUGGUCUGUUAAGUUAGGUGUUAAAUCUCUCGGCUCAACUGGGAGGUGUCGCUUAAAACUGGCAGACUGGAGGACGGUAGAGGAAGGUGGAAUUCCGGGUGUAGUGGUGAAAUGCGUAGAUAUCCGGAGGAACAUCAGUGGCGAAGGCGGCCUUCUGGACCGCUCCUGACACUCCAACGCGAAAGCUAGGGGAGCAAACGGG